RNAcentral lists this ribosomal RNA (301 nucleotides) under uncultured bacterium. Its description in RNAcentral is "partial 16S ribosomal RNA". It matches the Rfam family "Bacterial small subunit ribosomal RNA", at positions 509 to 809 of the family's 1533-position model. The record is from RNAcentral.
CAGUUGCCGCGGGAACACGUAGGGUGCAAGCGUUAAUCGGAAUUACUGGGCGUAAAGCGUGCGCAGGCGGUUAUAUAAGACAGAUGUGAAAUCCCCGGGCUCAACCUGGGAACUGCAUUUGUGACUGUAUAGCUAGAGUACGGCAGAGGGGGAUGGAAUUCCGCGUGUAGCAGUGAAAUGCGUAGAUAUGCGGAGGAACACCGAUGGCGAAGGCAAUCCCCUGGGCCUGUACUAACGCUCAUGCACGAAAGCGUGGGGAGCAAACAGGAUUAGAUACCCCGGUAGUCCCUGUCUCUUAUAA